Medicago truncatula (barrel medic) is the source of this 110-nucleotide microRNA precursor. It matches the Rfam family "MIR5225 microRNA precursor family". The record is from Rfam. Lineage: Eukaryota; Viridiplantae; Streptophyta; Magnoliopsida; Fabales; Fabaceae.
UUCAGGGACUUUAGUCGCAGGAGAGAUGACACCUUCUAUUACUAAUGACAUGAUUUUAUAGCAAUUUUAACAGAAGUUGUCAUCUUUCUUUGACUGAAGUUCAUAUGCAU